RNAcentral lists this ribosomal RNA (126 nucleotides) under Chloropicon primus. Its description in RNAcentral is "partial Eukaryotic large subunit ribosomal RNA". It matches the Rfam family "Eukaryotic large subunit ribosomal RNA", at positions 355 to 480 of the family's 3401-position model. The record is from RNAcentral. Lineage: Eukaryota; Viridiplantae; Chlorophyta; Chloropicophyceae; Chloropicales; Chloropicaceae.
GAGGGAAAGAUGAAAAGCACUUUGGAAAGAGAGUUAAACAGUACGUGAAAUUGUUGAAAGGGAAACGAUUGAAGUCAGUCAUGCUCUUUGGUAUUUAUAUCAUUGAGUGGGGUCAACAUCAGUUUU